RNAcentral lists this unclassified non-coding RNA (225 nucleotides) under plant metagenome. Its description in RNAcentral is "partial contains small subunit ribosomal RNA, internal transcribed spacer 1, and 5.8S ribosomal RNA". The record is from RNAcentral.
UCUCCGUUGGUGAACCAGCGGAGGGAUCAUUACAGGACUCGCAAGACUCCUACAACCCUGUGAACUUAACUAUAAGCACGUUGCUUCGGCGGGUGUCUCGGAGGGGGUGCGCCCUCCCCGAACCGCUAAACCCGCCGGCAGCAAACUAUACUCUGUCUCUUUGCGUUGGCAUCUCGAGUACAAUCAAACAAGUUAAAACUUUCAACAACGGAUCUCUUGGUUCUG